RNAcentral lists this ribosomal RNA (497 nucleotides) under uncultured bacterium. RNAcentral's name for it is "partial 16S ribosomal RNA". It matches the Rfam family "Bacterial small subunit ribosomal RNA", at positions 28 to 507 of the family's 1533-position model. The record is from RNAcentral.
GAUGAUCGCUGUCGGCGUGCCUAAUACAUGCAAGUCGAGCGAACGGACGAGAAGCUUGCUUCUCUGAUGUUAGCGUCGUACGGGUGAGUAACACUUGGAUAACCUACCUAUAAAACUGGGAUAACUUCGGGAAACCGGAGCUAAUACCGGAUAAAAUUUGGAACCGCAUGGUUCACAAGUGAAAGACGGUCUUGCUGUUACUUAUAGAUGUAUCCGCGCUGCCUUAGCUAGUUGGUAAGGUAACGGCCUACCAAGGCAACGAUGCAUAGCCGACCUGAGCGGGUGAUCGGACACACUGGACCUGAGACCCGGCCCCGACUCCUCCGGGAGGCAGCAGUAGGGAAUCUUCCGCCAUGGGCGGAAGCCCGACGGAGCAACGCCGCGUGAGCGAUGAUGGUCUUCGGAUCGUAAAACUCUGCUAUUAGGGAAGAACAUAUGUCUAAGUAACUGUGCACCACUAGACGGUAGCUACUCAGAGAGGCACGGCUAACUCCGUG